AAGCCCAAGUGGAUAGAAGCACCAAAAUGCAAAUUUGGAGAAGCACCCUAACAGGUGCCGGGGCUUC
Molecule: transfer RNA, 67 nt
Filed under: Cyrtodactylus muluensis
Lineage: Eukaryota; Metazoa; Chordata; Lepidosauria; Squamata; Gekkonidae
Description: tRNA-Cys
Source: RNAcentral